GAGUUUGAUCGUGGCUCAGGAUGAACGCUGGCGGCGUGCUUAACACAUGCAAGUCGAACGAAGCGCUUGAAUGGAAUUCUUCGGAAGGAAGCUCAAGCGACUGAGUGGCGGACGGGUGAGUAACGCGUGGGUAACCUGCCUCAUACAGGGGGAUAACAGUUAGAAAUGACUGCUAAUACCGCAUAAGCGCACAGCACCGCAUGGUGCAGUGUGAAAAACUCCGGUGGUGUGAGAUGGAUCCGCGUCUGAUUAGCUUGUUGGCGGGUAACGG
This 271-nucleotide ribosomal RNA is filed under the name uncultured bacterium. Its description in RNAcentral is "partial 16S ribosomal RNA". It matches the Rfam family "Bacterial small subunit ribosomal RNA", at positions 9 to 263 of the family's 1533-position model. The record is from RNAcentral.